RNAcentral lists this ribosomal RNA (44 nucleotides) under Polypogon viridis. RNAcentral's name for it is "partial 18S ribosomal RNA". The record is from RNAcentral. Lineage: Eukaryota; Viridiplantae; Streptophyta; Magnoliopsida; Poales; Poaceae.
CGUACAAGGUUUCCGUAGGUGAACCUGCGGAAGGAUCAUUGUCG